This 253-nucleotide ribosomal RNA is filed under the name uncultured bacterium. RNAcentral's name for it is "partial 16S ribosomal RNA". It matches the Rfam family "Archaeal small subunit ribosomal RNA", at positions 474 to 727 of the family's 1478-position model. The record is from RNAcentral.
UACCCGCAGCACAAGUGUUGGUCAUUAUUAUUGGGCCUAAAGCGUCCGUAGCUGGCUUGUUAGAUGCCUGGGUAAAUCGAUGCGCUCAACGUAUCGACUUCCGGGUAGACCGGCAAGCUCGAGACCGGGAGAGGUGUAGGCUACUCGAGGGGUAGGGGUAAAAUCCUGUAAUCCUUCGGGGAGGACCAGUGGCGAAGGCGCUACACUAGAACGGCUCUGACAGUGAGGGACGAAGCCCUGGGGCGCAAACCGG